AGUGAAGCGGCAACAGCUCAAAUUUGAAAUCUGGCCCUCGGGUCCGAGUUGUAAUUUGUAGAGGAUGCUUUUGGCGCGGUGCCUUCCGAGUUCCCUGGAACGGGACGCCUUAGAGGGUGAGAGCCCCGUACGGUUGGACACCAAGCCUCUGUAAAGCUCCUUCGACGAGUCGAGUAGUUUGGGAAUGCUGCUCUAAAUGGGAGGUAAAUUUCUUCUAAAGCUAAAUAUUGGCCAGAGACCGAUAGCGCACAAGUAGAGUGAUCGAAAGAUGAAAAGCACUUUGAAAAGAGGGUUAAAUAGCACGUGAAAUUGUUGAAAGGGAAGCGUUUGCGACCAGACCUUUUCCUAGCGGAUCAUCCGGUGUUCUCACCGGUGCACUUCGCUAGGUUUAGGCCAGCAUCGGUUUCUGUAGGGGGAUAAAAGCUCUGGGAACGUAGCUCCUCCGGGAGUGUUAUAGCCCUCUGCAUAAUACCCUUACGGGGACCGAGGACCGCGCUUCGGCAAGGAUGCUGGCGUAAUGGUCGUCAACGACCCGUCUUGAAACACGGACCAAGGAGUCGAACAUUUGUGCGAGUGUUUGGGUGUUAAACCCUCACGCGUAAUGAAAGUAAACGGAGGUGAGAGCCCUUACGGGUGCAUCAUCGACCGAUCCUGAUGUCUUCGGAUGGAUUUGAGUAAGAGCAUAACUGUUCGGACCCGAAAGAUGGUGAACUAUGCGUGGAUAGGGUGAAGCCAGAGGAAACUCUGGUGGAGGCUCGCAGCGGUUCUGACGUGCAAAUCGAUCGUCAAAUCUGCGCAUGGGGGCGAAAGACUUAUCGAACCAUCUAGUAGCUGGUUACCGCCGAAGUUUCCCUCAGGAUAGCAGUGUUGUUCUUCAGUUUUAUGAGGUAAAGCGAAUGAUUAGGGACUCGGGGGCGCUUUUUAGCCUUCAUCCAUUCUCAAACUUUAAAUAUGUAAGAAGCCCUUGUUACUUAAUUGAACGUGGGCAUUCGAAUGUACCAACACUAGUGGGCCAUUUUUGGUAAGCAGAACUGGCGAUGCGGGAUGAACCGAACGCGGGGUUAAGGUGCCGGAGUGGACGCUCAUCAGACACCACAAAAGGUGUUAGCACAUUUAGACAAUAGGACGGUGGCCAUGGAAGUCGGAAUCCGCUAAGGACUGUGUAACAACUCACCUAUCGAAUGUGCUAGCCCUGAAAAUGGAUGGCGCUCAAGCGUCCCACCCAUACCUCGCCCUCAGGGUAGAAACGAUGCCCUGAGGAGUAGGCGGC
This 1270-nucleotide ribosomal RNA is filed under the name fungal sp. Its description in RNAcentral is "eukaryotic LSU rRNA". It matches the Rfam family "Eukaryotic large subunit ribosomal RNA", at positions 92 to 1389 of the family's 3401-position model. The record is from RNAcentral. Lineage: Eukaryota; Fungi.